CCGGGAUAGCUCAGUUGGUAGAGCAGAGGACUGAAAAUCCUCGUGUCAC
Molecule: transfer RNA, 49 nt
Filed under: Philonotis fontana
Lineage: Eukaryota; Viridiplantae; Streptophyta; Bryopsida; Bartramiales; Bartramiaceae
Also listed under: 5 other names
Description: partial tRNA-Phe
Source: RNAcentral